RNAcentral lists this ribosomal RNA (253 nucleotides) under uncultured prokaryote. Its description in RNAcentral is "partial 16S ribosomal RNA". It matches the Rfam family "Bacterial small subunit ribosomal RNA", at positions 524 to 776 of the family's 1533-position model. The record is from RNAcentral.
UACGGGGGGGGCAAGCGUUGUUCGGAAUUACUGGGCGUAAAGGGCUCGUAGGUGGCCAACUAAGUCAGACGUGAAAUCCCUCAGCUUAACUGGGGAACUGCGUCUGAUACUGGAUGGCUUGAGUUUGGGAGAGGGAUGCGGAAUUCCCAGUGUAGCGGUGAAAUGCGUAGAUAUUGGGAGGAACACCAGUGGCGAAGGCGGCUACCUGGACAGGUACUGACGCUGAAGCGCGAAAGCUAGGGGAGCAAACAGG